UUGAAUGCCGAACCAAUGCAAUCUGCAUGGCACAAGGAUCAAAUUAUAAUAAUGAUCAAAUAGGGCACAUUGUAAUCUUUAUCUGGGUAUUGCACCAGCUCUGGAGAAAGUAUCAUAAGUGCUUUAAGAAACUAACUACAACAUUGUCUUUCAUAUAAAGUAAGUCACUUCCUAUUUUCCUAAUUGGAAGACAUAUUUUGAACUACAUAUCUAGCUACGAAAUAAAAACUGGCUGAGGUCUAUUCAACUCAACUCCAGUAAUUUCCAAUGCCACCAAUUAUGUUAGCUGAAUAACCAUACCUGCAUAUAUUUGCAGAUAGGGUCAUGGGUUUAAAACAUAGGCCCUUGUUUCAGUGCCAAAUUCAUGGGAAUUAUUUUGUGCCGUGGCAACCCCAAAAAUUUCCAUGAACUUACCAUUCCACACCCAAAAGUUUUCAUGUGUGCAAGUAGAUAUAGGUGCAGGAGACAGUGAAACUUAAUUGAUAUUCAAUAUCAGUCCAAAUUAAAACCAGAAGAUCAUAGAAUAGACAAUUUUUUCCACUAAUUUAAAGCUUCGUUGUUUUUCGUGAAAUAAGAAGCCAAGCUAUUGACAUUAACUAACAAACACUUUCAGAAAUAGGGUUUUGAAUUAGUUGAUUGUCUUUGAGAAAACCUUUAAAUACUUCUUUUUACCAGAUAUAAAUUAAGCUUAAAUGAAAAUUCAAUACAUUAUCGCCUUUUAUCUUUAUUUGAAAAGCCCAGCUUUAAAUUAUUAAAAAAAUUGGGGAGAACAA
Molecule: unclassified non-coding RNA, 773 nt
Filed under: Hevea brasiliensis (rubber tree)
Lineage: Eukaryota; Viridiplantae; Streptophyta; Magnoliopsida; Malpighiales; Euphorbiaceae
Source: RNAcentral